CAGCAGCCGCGGGAAAACGUAGGGUGCGAGCGUUAAUCGGAAUUACUGGGCGUAAAGCGUGCGCAGGCGGUUUUGUAAGACAGGCGUGAAAUCCCCGGGCUCAACCUGGGAAUGGCGCUUGUGACUGCAAAGCUAGAGUGCGGCAGAGGGGGAUGGAAUUCCGCGUGUAGCAGUGAAAUGCGUAGAUAUGCGGAGGAACCCCGAUGGCGAAGGCAAUCCCCUGGGCCUGCACUGACGCUCAUGCACGAAAGCGUGGGGAGCAAACAGGAUUAGAUACCCGCGUAGUCCCUGUCUCUUAUAC
This 301-nucleotide ribosomal RNA is filed under the name uncultured bacterium. RNAcentral's name for it is "partial 16S ribosomal RNA". It matches the Rfam family "Bacterial small subunit ribosomal RNA", at positions 509 to 807 of the family's 1533-position model. The record is from RNAcentral.